Molecule: small RNA, 29 nt
Filed under: Bombyx mori (domestic silkworm)
Lineage: Eukaryota; Metazoa; Arthropoda; Insecta; Lepidoptera; Bombycidae
Description: ovarian small RNA-34342
Source: RNAcentral
UGCUUUCGCGUACAAUGCCAUGCUCCAUC